Aotus nancymaae (Ma's night monkey) is the source of this 152-nucleotide small nuclear RNA. Its record names the gene U4. It matches the Rfam family "U4 spliceosomal RNA". From Rfam's summary of the family: U4 small nuclear RNA (U4 snRNA) is a component of the major U2-dependent spliceosome. The structure of U4 snRNA from yeast and human has been reported. U4 snRNA presents a k-turn RNA motif in the 5p-SL related to recognition of Snu13 protein. NCBI's taxonomy places the organism in Eukaryota, Metazoa, Chordata, Mammalia, Primates, Aotidae. The record is from Ensembl.
AGCUUUGCGCAGUGGCAGUAUCGUAGCCAAUGAGGUUUAUCCGAGGCCUGAUUAUUGCUACUGGAAAACUUUUCCCAGGAAAUUAGCAAUUUUAAAGAAUCCUUCUAUGUCUAGAAAUUUAAAUUUCCCAGCUGGUCCAUGUACCAAUUAAA